UACGUAGGGGGCGAGCGUUGUCCGAAGUUACUGGGCGUAAAGAGCUCGUAGGUGGUUUGUCGCGUUGUUCGUGAAAUCUCACGGCUUAACUGUGAGCGUGCGGGCGAUACGGGCAGACUGGAGUACUGCAGGGGAGACUGGAAUUCCUGGUGUAGCGGUGGAAUGCGCAGAUAUCAGGAGGAACACCGGUGGCGAAGGCGGGUCUCUGGGCAGUAACUGACGCUGAGGAGCGAAAGCGUGGGGAGCGAACAGG
RNAcentral lists this ribosomal RNA (253 nucleotides) under uncultured bacterium. Its description in RNAcentral is "partial 16S ribosomal RNA". It matches the Rfam family "Bacterial small subunit ribosomal RNA", at positions 524 to 776 of the family's 1533-position model. The record is from RNAcentral.